This 429-nucleotide ribosomal RNA is filed under the name Verrucomicrobiota bacterium. Its description in RNAcentral is "Verrucomicrobia bacterium partial 16S ribosomal RNA". It matches the Rfam family "Bacterial small subunit ribosomal RNA", at positions 355 to 776 of the family's 1533-position model. Lineage: Bacteria; Pseudomonadati; Verrucomicrobiota. The record is from RNAcentral.
UAGGGAAUCUUCCGCAAUGGACGAAAGUCUGACGGAGCAACGCCGCGUGAGUGAAGAAGGAUUUCGGUUCGUAAAACUCUGUUGUUAGGGAAGAAAAAAUGUAUAGUAACUAUAUACAAAAGAGACGGUAGCUAACCAGAAAGCCACGGCUAACUACGUGCCAGCAGCCGCGGUAAUACGUAGGUGGCAAGCGUUGUCCGGAAUUAUUGGGCGUAAAGCGCGCGCAGGUGGUUUAGAAAGUCUGAUGUGAAAGCCCACGGCUCAACCGUGGAGGGUCAUUGGAAACUAAUAAACUUGAGUGCAGGGGAGAAAAGUGGAAUUCCUAGUGUAGCGGUGAAAUGCGUAGAGAUUAGGAGGAACACCGGUGGCGAAAGCGGCUUUUUGGCCUGCAACUGACACUGAGGCGCGAAAGCGUGGGGAGCAAACAGG